GACCGGUCCAGAGUCGCUGAGAUAAUCAGAACUGCAGAUACCAGAGACUCCGAGAUAACACGGUGUGCAGCUGGAUGAACACAGCAGGUCAAGCAGCAUCAGAGGAGCAGGAAAGCUGACGUUUCGGGCCUAGCUCCUUCGCUGAGACCAAGAUUUGUGCAAUUGAGAUGCCAGCGAUCGUUGCCAAAGCCCUGUUGCCUGUGGAGAAGGUGAUGUUUAACUUUCGUGUCCUGCUGCAGUUCGCACGAUGAAGGUGCUCCCACAAUGCGGUCAUUUGAGAAGUUACAGAUCGGUCAUCUAGCGAUACUGAAGAGCUGAUGGAUAUUACAAGUGGACUUUCAGGUGGGAAGCUCAAUAAUUAUAACACCAAACUGACUGAAUUACUCACUUCUUCAGGAUCUGGAUAUUCGCAUUGUGUAUUUCCACAAUUUUACUUCUGCACCAUUAUUCGUCUUUGAAGGAUCGAAAGGUUGAGUUACAGAUCUAUACAAUGCCUGUCCUUCCUCCCUGGCUCUCCCACCUCUCUCUCUUUUGGUAGUUUUGUGCAAACAUUGACUGGAUCCUUUACCUGGAGGAUAUUUAUGAAUUGAAUUUGUUCUAAUGAUAAUCCAGAAUAUUCCCCAAGUAUCGCUCCACAAAUGUCCAGAGAAUUUCUCAGUUUCACAAUCUGUGUUCGUCUGGUUUCUUAUUCACUGCACUUAGUUGCUGUUUGAAAGUAUAGUUGGACAAACUGGCAGAAAGCCAGCCACCACGAUACAUGAACAUCAACUAGCCACAAAACGACAUGACCCACUGUCACUCUAUCCUUCCAUACAGACAAGGAAGGACACCACUUUGAUUGGGAUAACACAUCCAUCCUAGGACAAGCCAAACGGAGACACUCACGAGAAUUCCUAGAAGCAUGGCAUUCCAACCGGAACUCCAUCAACAAACACAUUGAUUUGGAGCCAAUCUACCAUCCCCUGAGAAAAAGAACAGGAAAUGACAUCACCAAUGCAGGAAAAGACAUCACCAACCCAAGGCAACCUAACCAGAUAAAUAGAAAGUGGGACGUAACACCAGGGCUUCGUCGGAGGCUCACUGAUGAUGUUACCUAGAAUGGUGACGAAACAUCUGAAAACUAACCUUCCAGCUCAGCGAUCAAACUCACAUCCAGUAUAGUCUGCAGUUGGAGAAUUCGAGCAGUUCCACAUCCAGGUCUGACAGUCACUUUGUUUAUCACAGCCUAAUUUUCUCAGGAUUUUGAACAUUGAAGGAAAAAGCAGCACUCACAUUGGGGAGAAAUGCACACGGUCUGUGUGUCGAAGAGUCUGUAAACAUUCAUCUGAAAUGCCCGCAUACCAGAGUAGUGAUACUGGAGAGAGACUGUGGAAAUAUGCAGAUUGCAGGAAGGAAUUUCUUCAUUUAUCCCAGCUAGAAACUGACCACCAGAGUCACACUGGAGAGAGACCAUUCACCUGCUCUGAUUGUGGAAUGGGAUUCACUCAGUCAUCAAACCUGCUUAAACACCAGAGAGUUCACACUGGAGAGAAACCAUUUACUUGCUCGGAAUGUGGGAAAGCAUUCACUCAGACACUUCAAAUGCUGAUAAACCAGUGAAUCCACAUUGGAGAGAGACUAUUGACCUGUUCUGUGUGUGGAAAAGGUUUUGCCGACUCGAUUCCCUGCUGAUACACCAGCGACUUCACUCUGGGGAGUGACCAUUCUUGAGCUCUGAGUGUGGGAAGGGAUUCACUGUCAUCCAAACAGUUAUCGGUUCAUCCAUAAAGUGGGGCAACAGAGUGCUGCACCUUGCCAGGAGAAAUGCAAGGAAAAUGUGUUCAGGCCUAAAACCUAAACAUUGCGAGUGCUUUACAAAACAGGAUCAAAAUGAUGGUCAAAGCACUCCUAUUGACCAAAAAAGACUUCAGCAAUGUGGAAAAUACACAAUGCAUAUGACUGCAUGGCAACAAAUAAUUGGGAUAAAAAAAUCAUCUUGCAAUACUGGCAGAAAGCAAUGGCAAUUAUUUGGACCAAGCAUGACGAGAGCAACCUGUCCAGGGACUUACCAAAAUCAUUUUGAAUUGUUGUGCUCUGUCCUCCUCUAAUCAGACUCGGAUGAGGCAGCUUUUCUCAUUCUGGCGGUGGUCCCUCUGACGUGUUGCACACCAGCAGCUGCCCAAACCUGCACGCCUACCAGACUUGUCUCUGUCAUAAUUUGGUUUUGCUGGUGCACCACUGUUGGAUGAACCUCCAGAGGAGGCAGUAUCCACGGAUUUUAAUGACUGUGGAAUAAUUAUUUUGUUUAAGAAGACGUUUGUAAAUCUUGCAUAUUAGAAACUUCCCCCUUUCCAGUUAUACUUAUUAUUACACAAAAUAUGCUGUCCUGCUGCCCACAAAGGUGAAGGCAUUCUGCGCAGGACAGCUUAAUUGCAAGAACAUGAUGUUGUACAUGAUUUCUUGGUCGUUGCUGUCUUGUGAAAUUUUUUACUUGCAGUUCUUUCCUCUACCAGGAAAGAUCACUUCUGAGGAAUUAUACUUCUGUUUGUGUUUACGAGCUGUUCAGUCAACAUCAACAAUUCAGUACUUAGCAUGCCCAUAAAUUACUAAUUAGUUUCCCUCAGCACAAUAACAUUGUGGUCAUUUCACUUGACCAUGUAAACUGGUGCUUCAAUUCUAAGUUUGUCAGGUAAACCCUUUGGGGUUUCAGUUUGCACUCAGUAUAUGAACAUGCUUACAUAAAUAUUUAUUUGCCCACUUCACCCUGCUACACACAGAAAUCUUGAAUGCACCUACAAUGUUUGAAGUUAAAACACACAUUUAUGAAGUGUGGGUGACUGCGAAUGGGCCAACAAGUGUAUGGUGCAGGUCAGAAUGUGUGCGGCACAGCACCACUGGCAGAAAGAAAGAGAGAGAUAGCAACAGCAAGACACACAGAGACAGAGAACUAAAGAAACCGGAAGCGAAAUCAUCCAAGUCACUGCAGCUCUCAGUUUAUGAUUAAUAUAGAGGCAGUCACACUAAACAGGGGAAUCUAUAAAAAGGAAGAGAGAUUUUUAAAACAAAAAAUACCACGCCAAAACACCCAAAUGUGACCUAAUAACACUUAGCCCAAUUCAUGGGAGAAUACAUUGCGAAAACAUUCCUGGGACAAGUCCUAGACAGAUUCGAAAACAAUAACCAUAACACAACUCUGAUAAUCAUCCAGAACACAAUGGUCUUUGGCAGAGAACACACUAAUCAACAGCUAAAAGCCCAAAUAUUGAAGAAAAACAAAACGUGCAGUCACGAGGACUCCAUGCAGAGAGCUGCAUUACUUUGUUGCAAUUGCUGGAUCAAGACCUGGCCAACAUACUCUGAAUAAUGUUUUUGUGGGCUGUGCGCUUCAAGCUGCGACAGAUGUACCCCAUUCACUAAAAUUUACUGUGCAGAAAUUAAACAUGCUGUUAAGAAUUAAAGAUGAAAUAUUUUGGUUAUUGAUAUGGCGAUCUUUAAAAAAACAUGUCCAGCUUCCUUUGUACAUUUUUAAAAAUCGUAUAAAAUAUCUAAACAAAACAAAGCAAACCACAUCUGAAAAAAAAAAUCAGCUCUCACUUCAUGAACGAAUAAUACCUUUUCUGGAAUCAAAUGCUUCAGUAAACAGCACAAAGGUUGAAUUUUGAUGGGAAUUGCACAGCUGUCUUGCCUUCGUUCUGAAAGCAAGUAACCCAACUUUGGCAAGUGGGACCUGGGAUGCAAAAUUGCUGGCAGUAGCCAAUUAUGAAGAUGCUUGAUGGAACGGCAUUCAAAUUAAGGAUUUCAGUCUGGCUGAAACAUCAAAAUGGCUAUUAGGCUAAUAGCUCUUAAAAGGAGAAGGAGAUUGGCCAGGCAGUCAUCCAGCUCCAGUGGUUGGGACGGUAUCACUGAGUACCCUUGUGUCCUCUUGAAUGCCAAAGUGUGGUCAGGAUAAUAGAUGGCAGGAAGACAGAAGGAAGGAAAGAAAGAAGAAAAAAAGUGUCUGGCCAUUAUUAAACAAACCAGUGUCUCCAAGAACAACAUAUUUUAUGUGAUGAGUGCCUCACUGUCUCACCUUUUCCAGCGCUUUUUGCGAGGUGCUUGGCUCUUCCAUUUCCAAGUGUCUGGCUGAGGUAAUGCUCUCGUCUGAAUCCUCAUUCUGAAGGGAUGCUGGCUGCUCAGAGCUUUUAGGUGGAGCGCUGUGUACUUUAACACCUCUCCUUGAAAACAGGCUGCACAAGGUAAAGGGGACACACCAAAUAAUGGAAAUGCCAUUGCAUUCUAGACAAACUGUCAAAAGAAAACCUAGCAUGAAGGUACAUUGCUGAUGUGAGUACCAGGAGUUUGAUGUUUGCCACAUUUGACCUGUGAGAAAUUAAUAGUGGCACACUAAUACCAAGAGCUUGCAUCACCCGGAUUGAACAGUGUUACGUUGUCUAAUAGCUAUGGAGUAUAUGAAUAUGUGAUAAAGUUUCCAUAUUCAGAUAGCACAAGAAUCUGGACUUUUUGCAAUGUUAUUCAACCUGCUAUCAACCUAGACCUUAUGAAAGGCAAAAUGUGGAUUUGAAUACCCACAGGUUGGAAAAUUUCCUCCAACCUGGCCACAUGCUAAUGUGUGCAUAAUUUCUUCCUGAAAGCUGCAGUUUGUUAAAAAUAAAACAUAAGACAAAGUAACACCAUUGAUAAUUGAUAGAAAACUGUACACAACACUUUGGAAGGUAGGACAGUGAACUCUGAAUUUGGCCUUCAGUAUAUUGGUACUGCAAAUGUUAGGAUUUCUAUUCAGCAAUUUGCAUUUAUAUUGCAUGAUUCACACAGAAAAUUUUCCAAAACUCCCAAAAGAAGUACAGCAGAUGGCAUGAUAAAAAAUUCCCACACUGAAAAUCCUGAUUGUUGGUAUAUUAGGCAUUAAAUAGUACAGGGAGCAAGAGCAGAUGGCUGAUGAAAUGUGAGAUUGCAGACUAAUGCUGCAAUGUUGAUUGCCUGCACUUCGACAAUCACAGUUAAGCCACGGAAGCCUAAAUCAUAUCCAUGUAACAUCCACACUCAUGUAAAGAGAAGAUAUCCCAGGAAGUGAAUAAGUGUUUCCCUUCUCUUUCUUGGUCUCUAUAUGACAAUAAUCACAUGUCACAGUCCAGAUCGCUGCAAGGCACAACACAGCAACAAGGCCUGGUUUUUUCUCUGAAACUCUACAUGGGUAGGUGGGGGAAAAACCUGACUUUGCUGAGUUCUGGUCAGUCCUUGCCUAUUGAACAGAAAUAUAAGAUAAUAUCCCCAACUCAGGAACAUUACUGAAAACAAUAACUUUGAAGUCUUUACACACGUAUGCACAACGACAAAAACACAUACUUUCAUGUCAACUUCUACAUGGAAAGAGAUUUGAGUUUUGAGGUGGAGUUUCAAAUGUGAGAAGCAUGGUUGAUAAUUUUUCAACAACAGAUAUUUUUGCUGCCUGCUGACCCACAAAGUAGAACACAAAUCUGAUUUUUCACUCAAAAUUGUUAAACAUUGCUAGUUUUCAUUAUAUAGGCCGACAACUAUACAAAUUUAAUUCACUGUAACACCUUUUUUGCUUACUUGUCUCUCAUGAACAAAUUCAAAUUUAGCCAUGGUGUAGAAACUUCUCAGUGGAUAAAUGAGAAUCGCUAGACAAUACCAAGCUCAUCACAGGUCCACAUUCUACAAUCAUGGUCAUAGCAAAGAAUCUCUAUCAAUCAGUCUCCGCUAGACACAUGCACGAGGUGAGAAUAACACCACCACUCCUUGCAUCAUCUCAAAUUACUCGACCAGAGACUUAAAAGAUCCCACUCCAAUGAAACAAUAAUGACCACGCAUCAAAUGACUCAAUUUGUCAAGAAACAGAUGUACUUAUCUUUCUGUCCAAUCAUCCCGAUAAAAAAGGAAAUAAUGAGUUAUCUGAGGUGCUUAACAUGGGAUACUUACCAGCUGAGGCGCUUCAACACACUCUUUUUGGGCUUUGGCGGUUUCUUGAGUUUAGAGGAGCUGCAGGACAGCAGAUAAACAUGUUCAGACAAGAUUCAUUGAAAAAGAAUCAGGUGCCUUUGCUCAAUAUUCUGAAUAUUUUUGGCAAAAUGAAUCAUUUACAUAGAAUUGAAAUUGCAUGAAUGAUAAUUUUGUUUGCAAAAGGCACGUGUUUUCAGGCAAGAGAACACUGAACAUUACUUUGACUGAUGAGCAACAAAAUCUCUUCUGUGGGCACAUCAAUCUUUUCUGCUUUAUGAACAGCAGAUCAAGACAAUAAGAGUUCUGAAGAAGUGUCACCAGACCCGAAAGUUAACUCUGCUUUCUUUCCACAGAUGCUGCCAGACCUGCUGAUUUUUUUCAGCAAUUUCUCUCUGUGUUUUUGAUUCCCAGCAUCUGCGGUUCCUUUGGGUAAUUUUUUUUACCAAGACGAUAACCCCCUCUUUUUACAGAACACGUGGAAUUGAACAAAAUGGUCGAACUUCUGCAGCAGGUACAGAAAAAAAUUAACAAGGACUGGGCUUGAAAAAAGUUAACUGGUAAACAGGAGAAUCAAACUUCCAGUGCCAAAGGUGAUACAAUAGGUUGUAAAGUUAUACAGGAGUUUCUCUGGGCCUCAUCCGCACUGUCAUGUGAAUGUACAGACAAUGUCAAGCAAUGAAAGGUGGCCAUGAAUCAGUCACUUCAGGUGACUAAAACACCACAUGCCACAUCUCGGAGAUAGUAAAAUGAAGGAGUAUAUCUCUUGACCAGGCUUUCUGUUGCUGAUAUUUCCAGACAAUCUGUCUGAAAAUCAACCAAACUAUCCCAGAGGUCCAAAACGACUUUAAAUUUAACUUAUGAUCCAUGCAAAGUGAAUUUUGGUACCAUUUUGUAAUUACUGUUACAAUAAAUACCAGGUUUGAAGUUGGCCCAAUACUGACUGUGCCACUGAUUGAAUUGACGAUAAUGCCAGGUGCUUGCUGCACAUGGUCAUCCAUAGCCUGAGGACGGGCUUAAUAGUGAGCUUUGCUUUUCAAAGCAGGAAUGUAAAUUGAUACAUCAGGUACAUUUUAAAUAGUAACUUCUACCCACCAAUUUACAAAGAAACAAACUGUUUUCAAACAAUGUAAUUAUUACAAAGCCUGCUCUGUCAAAACAAAAAAUCAGUUUCAGUGAUCUAUAAUCUGGUUCCUUCAUCACCUCUGCUCCAGCAAUGGCAAAGUGGGUUUAUUUUUUCAGUUGCAGAUUAUUUUUGGUUGCAUUAUGAAAAAUAUACUGUGGCUAUUUCGAGAUGAGGGAAUGAUGUUUUUAGGCAACCAUAUAAAGGUACUUUAAAAUGCUAAAUUGUGUAGGGUUAUUGUUAAUUUUAUGUUCGUAAUAGGAUUAUGUAUUUGAAAAGAAAUUGGAAGGAAAAGAAACAUUUCUCAAAACUGGUACAAUUUACAUCUGGAUUUGUAGGUGCACCCACAGUAGGAGCUCUUGGACAUGUUGCUAAAAUUGGUCACUCAUCAAGUUUUUUGCAUUUUCCUGCAAUCAUUGGCUUAGUGGUAGUAUACUCUGCACUAUUAUACACCAAUAAAACACAUUUUGAAGCAACACAACAGAAUUGAUUCAUUGAGCAACUGGCUUUAUCCUCAUAGGUCAGAAUUCAUUGUCAAAACUUUGAAACCAAGGAAAAAGAAGACAAUAAAUAAACUGGCAGCUCACUAGCAUUAAACAGCAAAUAUAACGAGAGAAGAUUUCACACACAACACUUAACUGUUUUACCUGCACACUCCUACAAUACCAGUUACGUACUCGCCAUCCUCACUUAAGUAUUGUUGCAUAAAGAACAAGUCUAGAAAAUUCUCGUUUGGACGAAGGGUGUAAGAUGAGCAAGAAAAUUGCAGGGAUUUGAUACCCAAAAUUAUUUCAUAUUCCUGAAAGUACACAAAUAAAUAAUGAACUGUUAAAGCAAGUUUAAACUGCUAUAAUAGUUCCUGCUCAAUCUGAGUCCUUGGUAAUUUGAACAGCAUCGAUAACUUUAUUCA
Stegostoma tigrinum is the source of this 7967-nucleotide long non-coding RNA. RefSeq lists it as uncharacterized. The transcript is spliced from 5 exons. NCBI's taxonomy places the organism in Eukaryota, Metazoa, Chordata, Chondrichthyes, Orectolobiformes, Stegostomatidae. The record is from RefSeq and is a predicted model, not a curated record.